Non-coding RNA from Glycine soja, 109 nucleotides. The record is from Rfam. NCBI's taxonomy places the organism in Eukaryota, Viridiplantae, Streptophyta, Magnoliopsida, Fabales, Fabaceae.
GAAUGUCACUUCAUCAAGUCUUGUCAUGGACAUCUCAUUGUCACGUCAUCACCUUCAAUGAUAUGACAAUGAUGUGUCAAUGAUUAGGCAUAAUGACGUGACACUUUAU